RNAcentral lists this ribosomal RNA (301 nucleotides) under uncultured bacterium. Its description in RNAcentral is "partial 16S ribosomal RNA". It matches the Rfam family "Bacterial small subunit ribosomal RNA", at positions 509 to 807 of the family's 1533-position model. The record is from RNAcentral.
CAGUAGCCGCGGUAAGACAGAGGAUGUAAGCGUUAUCCAGAAUGAUUGGGCGUAAAGCGUCUGUAGGUGGCUUUUCAAGUCCGCCAUCAAAUCCCCGGGCUCAACCCUCGACAGGCAGUGGAAACUACCAAGCUGGAGUACGGUAGGGGUAGAGGGAAUUUCCGGUGGAGCGGUGAAAUGCGUUGAGAUCGGAAAGAACACCAACGGUGAAAGCACUCUGCUGGGCCGACACUGACACUGAGAGACGAAAGCUAAGGGAGCAAAUGGGAUUAGAGACCCCAGUAGUCCCUGUCUCUUAUAC